GAAUGGCACCACGAAGGCUAUACUGUCUCCUUUUUCUAAUCAGUGAAACUAAUCUUCCCGUGAAGAAGCGGGAAUCUACACAUAAGACGAGAAGACCCUAUGGAGCUUUAAACGAAAUAACAACUACCAUAAUAAACACCAAUUUCAGAAGUUUAACUCUUAUCCAGGUAUUUUGUUUAUAAGUUUUAGGUUGGGGUGACCGCUGAGCAAAAAACAACCUCCGCACUGAACAGGGCCGACCCUAAACAAAAAGCUACAACUUUAUGUAUCAGCACACUGACACCAAUUGACCCAAUAAUUUGAUCAACGAACCAAGUUACCCUAGGGAUAACAGCGCAAUCCAUUUCAAGAGCCCCUAUCGACAAAUGG
This 369-nucleotide ribosomal RNA is filed under the name Proceratophrys boiei (Bioe's frog). Its description in RNAcentral is "partial 16S ribosomal RNA". It matches the Rfam family "Bacterial large subunit ribosomal RNA", at positions 1994 to 2515 of the family's 2925-position model. The record is from RNAcentral. Lineage: Eukaryota; Metazoa; Chordata; Amphibia; Anura; Alsodidae.